UACGUAGGGGGCAAGCGUUGUCCGGAAUUAUUGGGCGUAAAGAGCGCGUAGGCGGUCUGAUAAGUCGGUUGUGAAAGUCGGGGGCUCAACCCUCGGAUGCCGAUCGAUACUGUCAGGCUAGAGUCCGGAAGAGGCGAGUGGAAUUCCUGGUGUAGCGGUGAAAUGCGCAGAUAUCAGGAGGAACACCCAUGGCGAAGGCAGCUCUCUGGCUUCACCCUGACGCUGAGGCGCGAAAGCGUGGGGAGCAAACAGG
RNAcentral lists this ribosomal RNA (253 nucleotides) under uncultured bacterium. RNAcentral's name for it is "partial 16S ribosomal RNA". It matches the Rfam family "Bacterial small subunit ribosomal RNA", at positions 524 to 776 of the family's 1533-position model. The record is from RNAcentral.